Molecule: ribosomal RNA, 424 nt
Filed under: uncultured prokaryote
Description: bacterial SSU rRNA
Rfam family: Bacterial small subunit ribosomal RNA
Source: RNAcentral
UGGGGAAUUUUCCGCAAUGGGCGAAAGCCUGACGGGGCAACGCCGCGUGAGGGAGGAAGGCUCUUGGGUUGUAAACCUCUUUUCUCAAGGAAGAUAAUGACGGUACUUGAGGAAUCAGCAUCGGCUAACUCCGUGCCAGCAGCCGCGGUAAUACGGAGGAGGCAAGCGUUAUCCGGAAUUAUUGGGCGUAAAGCGUCCGCAGGUGGUGAUUCAAGUCCGCUGUCAAAGACCGGGGCUCAACCCUGGGUCGGCAGUAGAAACUGAAGCACUAGAGUUCGGUAGGGGUAGAGGGAAUUCCCAGUGUAGCGGUGAAAUGCGUAGAGAUUGGGAAGAACACCAGUGGCGAAAGCGCUCUACUGGGCCGAGACUGACACUCAGGGACGAAAGCUAGGGGAGCGAAAGGGAUUAGAUACCCCCGUAGUCC